UACGUAGGUGGCGAGCGUUGUCCGGAAUGACUGGGCGUAAAGGGCGUGUAGGCGGCCUGGUAAGCGGGGGGUGAAAGACCGCAGCUCAACUGCGGGGGUGCCCUUCGGACUGCCGGGCUUGAGUGGGUCAGAGGGCAGCGGAAUUCCCGGUGUAGCGGUGAAAUGCGUAGAGAUCGGGAGGAACACCAGUGGCGAAGGCGGCUGCCUGGGGCCCAACUGACGCUGAGGCGCGAAAGCUGGGGGAGCAAACAGGAUUAGAUACCCUGGUAGUCCCAGCUGUAAACGAUGAGCGCUACGUGUGAGGGGUAUCGACCCCCCUCGUGCGGAAGCCAACGCAUUAAGCGCUCCGCCUGGGGAGUACGGCCGCAAGGCUGAA
This 376-nucleotide ribosomal RNA is filed under the name uncultured bacterium. RNAcentral describes it as "bacterial SSU rRNA". It matches the Rfam family "Bacterial small subunit ribosomal RNA", at positions 524 to 898 of the family's 1533-position model. The record is from RNAcentral.